This 204-nucleotide ribosomal RNA is filed under the name uncultured bacterium. RNAcentral's name for it is "partial 16S ribosomal RNA". It matches the Rfam family "Bacterial small subunit ribosomal RNA", at positions 570 to 774 of the family's 1533-position model. The record is from RNAcentral.
CGUAGGCGGGAAUACAAGUCUGUUUUUAAAGUUCGGGGCUCAACCCCGUGAUGGAAUGGAAACUGUAUUUCUUGAGGGCAGGAGAGGAAAGUGGAAUUCCUAGUGUAGCGGUGAAAUGCGUAGAUAUUAGGAGGAACACCAGUGGCGAAGGCGGCUUUCUGGACUGCAACUGACGCUGAGGCGCGAAAGCUAGGGGAGCGAACA